GUGCAAUGAUGUAUUGUCAACACAUCAUUCUGAAGAAAAUGGUGACUUCCUUUGACUGAGCACA
Sorex fumeus (smoky shrew) is the source of this 64-nucleotide small nucleolar RNA. RefSeq annotates it as small nucleolar RNA SNORD63. The record is from RefSeq and is a predicted model, not a curated record. The transcript has a single exon. NCBI's taxonomy places the organism in Eukaryota, Metazoa, Chordata, Mammalia, Eulipotyphla, Soricidae.